UUAAACUGGAGAGUUUGAUUCUGGCUCAGAUUGAACGCUGGCGGCGUGCCUAACACAUGCAAGUCGAACGCGAAAGUCUCUUCGGAGAUGAGUAGAGUGGCGCACGGGUGAGUAACGCGUGGAUUAUCUACCUACUGGUACGGGACAACAGUUGGAAACGACUGCUAAUACCGUAUACGCUGGUAACGGGAAAGGGGGCCUCUUCUUGAAAGCUCUCGCCAGUAGAUGAGUCCGCGUUUCAUUAGCUAGACGGUGGGGUAACGGCCUACCGUGGCAACGAUGAAUAGCAGGCCUGAGAGGGUGGCCUGCCACACUGGGACUGGAACACGGCCCAGACUCCUACGGGAGGCAGCAGUGGGGAAUAUUGCGCAAUGGACGAAAGUCUGACGCAGCGACGCCGCGUGGAGGAUGAAGGUUUUCGGAUCGUAAACUCCUGUCAAGAGGGAAGAAACCUAU
Molecule: ribosomal RNA, 456 nt
Filed under: Halodesulfovibrio spirochaetisodalis
Lineage: Bacteria; Pseudomonadati; Thermodesulfobacteriota; Desulfovibrionia; Desulfovibrionales; Desulfovibrionaceae
Description: bacterial SSU rRNA
Rfam family: Bacterial small subunit ribosomal RNA
Source: RNAcentral